Molecule: ribosomal RNA, 477 nt
Filed under: uncultured bacterium
Lineage: Bacteria
Description: SSU rRNA
Rfam family: Bacterial small subunit ribosomal RNA
Source: RNAcentral
AGGACGAACGCUGGCGGCGUGCUUAACACAUGCAAGUCGAGCGGAAAGGCCCUUCGGGGUACUCGAGCGGCGAACGGGUGAGUAACACGUGAGUAACCUGCCCCUAGCUCUGGGAUAGCUCCGGGAAACCGGGAUUAAUACCAGAUACGACCACUUUAGACAUCUGUCGUGGUGGAAAGGAUUCCGGCUAGGGAUGGGCUCGCGGCCUAUCAGCUUGUUGGUGGGGUAACGGCCUACCAAGGCGACGACGGGUAGCCGGCCUGAGAGGGCGACCGGCCAACGACUGGGACUGAGACACGGCCCAGACUCCUACGGGAGGCAGCAGUGGGGAAUAUUGCGCAAUGGGCGAAAGCCUGACGCAGCGACGCCGCGUGGGGGAUGAAGGCCUUCGGGUUGUAAACCCCGUUUCAGCAGGGACGAAGCGAAAGUGACGGUACCUGCAGAAGAAGCGCCGGCUAACUACGUGCCAGCAGCCGC